GAUGAACGCUGGCGGCGUGCCUAAUACAUGCAAGUCGAGCGAACAGACGAGGAGCUUGCUCCUCUGACGUUAGCGGCGGACGGGUGAGUAACACGUGGAUAACCUACCUAUAAGACUGGGAUAACUUCGGGAAACCGGAGCUAAUACCGGAUAAUAUAUUGAACCGCAUGGUUCAAUAGUGAAAGACGGUUUUGCUGUCACUUAUAGAUGGAUCCGCGCCGCAUUAGCUAGUUGGUAAGGUAACGGCUUACCAAGGCAACGAUGCGUAGCCGACCUGAGAGGGUGAUCGGCCACACUGGAACUGGGACACGGUCCAGACUCCUACGGGAGGCAGCAGUAGGGAAUCUUCCGCAAUGGGCGAAAGCUUGACGGAGCAACGCCGCGUGAGUGAUGAAGGUCUUCGGAUCGUAAAACUCUGUUAUUAGGGAAGAACAAAUGUGUAAGUAACUAUGCACGUCUUGACGGUACCUAAUCAGAAAGCCACGGCGAACUACGU
RNAcentral lists this ribosomal RNA (496 nucleotides) under uncultured bacterium. Its description in RNAcentral is "partial 16S ribosomal RNA". It matches the Rfam family "Bacterial small subunit ribosomal RNA", at positions 28 to 506 of the family's 1533-position model. The record is from RNAcentral.